GCUCUCCCACCCUUUGUGAACUAAACCUCUGUUGCUUUGGCGUGGCCAGCGCUGUAAAAGGCGCGGUCGGCGGGGCCUGGCCCCCGCUGGCAAGCUUGCCCGCCAGAGGACUAUCAAACUCUUGUCAGUAAACGAUGCAGUCUGAUUCAAACAUUUAAUUGUUUAAAACUUUCAACAACGGAUCUCUUGGUUCUGGCAUCGAUGAAGAACGCAGCGAAAUGCGAUAAGUAAUGUGAAUUGCAGAAUUCAGUGAAUCAUCGAAUCUUUGAACGCACAUUGCGCCCUAUGGUAUUCCGUAGGGCAUGCCUGUUCGAGCGUCAUUACACACCUCAAGCUCUGCUUGGUAUUGGGCGUCGCCCCCCUACACGGGGGACGUGCCUCAAAGACCUCGGCGGUGGCGUCUUUGCCUCAAGCGUAGUAAUAUUCUUAUCUCGCUUUGGAGUCGAAGGCGUCGCCCGCCGGACGAAACCUUUAUUUUUCUAUCAAGGCGGCGAGUGAAGCGGCAACAGCUCAAAUUUGAAAUCUGGCCCUUUCAGGGUCCGAGUUGUAAUUUGUAGAGGAUGCUUCGGCGAGGGCUCCCGUCUAAGUUCCCUGGAACGGGACGUCAUAGAGGGUGAGAAUCCCGUAUGUGAUGGGUUGCUCGAGCCAUGUGAAGCUCCUUCGACGAGUCGAGUUGUUUGGGAAUGCAGCUCUAAAUGGGAGGUAAAUUUCUUCUAAAGCUAAAUACCGGCCAGAGACCGAUAGCGCACAAGUAGAGUGAUCGAAAGAUGAAAAGCACUUUGGAAAGAGAGUUAAAAAGUACGUGAAAUUGUUGAAAGGGAAGCGCUUGCAACCAGACUUGUCCGCAGUUGUUCAGCCGGUCUCCUGACCGGCGUACUCUUCUGCGGCCAGGCCAGCAUCAGUUCGGGCGGUUGGAUAAAGGCCUCGGGAAUGUGGCUCUCUUCGGGGAGUGUUAUAGCCCGGGGCGGAAUGCAGCCAGCCUGGACUGAGGAUCUCGCUUCGGCAAGGAUGCUGGCGUAAUGGUUGUAAGCGGCCCGUCUUGAAACACGGACCAAGGAGUCUAACAUCUAUGCGAGUGUUUGGGUGUCAAACCCAUACGCGUAAUGAAAGUGAACGGAGGUGGGAACCCGCAAGGGCGCACCAUCGACCGAUCCUGAUGUCUUCGGAUGGAUUUGAGUAAGAGCAUA
Molecule: small RNA, 1187 nt
Filed under: Botryosphaeriales sp. TU05_2
Lineage: Eukaryota; Fungi; Ascomycota; Dothideomycetes; Botryosphaeriales
Description: eukaryotic LSU rRNA
Rfam family: Eukaryotic large subunit ribosomal RNA (bases 422-1187)
Source: RNAcentral